UACCGACGGCUCGAGUGGUGGCCACUAUUACUGGGCUUAAAGGGUCCGUAGCUUGAUAGUUAAGUCCCUUGAGAAAUCCACCGGCUUAACUGGUGGGCGUUCAGGGGAAACUGGCUUUCUAGGGACCGGGAGAGGUAAGAGGUACUGCCGGGGUAGGAGUGAAAUCCUGUAAUCCCGGUGGGACCACCUAUGGCGAAGGCAUCUUACCAGAACGGCUCCGACAGUGAGGGACGAAAGCUGGGGGAGCAAACCGGAUUAGAUACCCGGGUAGUCCCAGCUGUAAACGAUGCGCGUUAGGUGUGUCAGUGACCACGAGUCACUGAGGUGCCGAAGGGAAACCGUGAAACGCGCCGCCUGGGAAGUACGGUCGCAAGGCUGAAACUUAAAGGAAUUGGCGGGGGAGCACCACAACAGGUGGAGCCUGCGGUUUAAUCGGACUCAACGCCGGAAAUCUCACCGGAUAAGACAGCUGAAUGAUAGUCGGGAUGAAGACUCUACUUGACUAGCUGAGAGGAGGUGCAUGGCCGUCGUCAGUUCGUACUGUGAAGCAUCCUGUUUAGUCAGGCAACGAGCGAGACCCACGCCAACAGUUGCCAGCUUGCCCUCCGGGGUGAUGGGGACACUGUUGGGACCGCCUCUGCUAAAGGGGAGGAAGGAAUGGGCAACGGUAGGUCAGCAUGCCCCGAAUUAUCCGGGCUACACGCGGGCUACAAUGGUCAGGACAAUGGGUUUCGACACCGAAAGGUGAAGGUAAUCUCCUAAACCUGUCCUAAGUUCGGAUUGCGGGUUGUAACUCACCCGCAUGAAGCUGGAAUCUGUAGUAAUCGCGUUUCAACAUAACGCGGUGAAUAUGUCCCUGCUCCUUGCACACACCGCCCGUCAAACCACCCGAGUGAGGUCUUGAUGAGGCGAUAUCAAAUGGUACCGUCGAAUCUGGGUUUUGCAAGGGGGGUU
This 954-nucleotide ribosomal RNA is filed under the name uncultured Methanospirillaceae archaeon. Its description in RNAcentral is "bacterial SSU rRNA". It matches the Rfam family "Archaeal small subunit ribosomal RNA", at positions 474 to 1429 of the family's 1478-position model. Lineage: Archaea; Methanobacteriati; Methanobacteriota; Methanomicrobia; Methanomicrobiales; Methanospirillaceae. The record is from RNAcentral.